GUUGUUUAUCUAUGACGUCAAGAUCUCGAACGUGGUCGAUAGUUUGUUGAGGCAAAACUAGAACACGGUUAUGUUUUCCAACAGAGAAAUAUUAUAAAUAUGUAGCCAUAUAUCACUUUUUAACAUAAACGCUAAAUGGCUCUUGGAUUAAUUUUAAUCGGAAUUCUUCUGAUACUGCCAGGGAAUCUGUUUGAAAGCUUAAAUUCGCACCAAACAGGUUUGUAUUUUUGUUUUAUGCAGCUGUUUUCGCAGGAUAAUUUGUAAACA
This 267-nucleotide long non-coding RNA is filed under the name Mytilus galloprovincialis (Mediterranean mussel). The record is from RNAcentral. Lineage: Eukaryota; Metazoa; Mollusca; Bivalvia; Mytilida; Mytilidae.